CGAGCCCGCCACUGACGCUGAGGCACGAAAGCGUGGGUAUCGAACAGGAUUAGAUACCCUGGUAGUCCACGCGGUAAACGAUGAUAACUGGCUGUUCGCUGCGAUUGCGCGGUGAGCGGCUGAGCGAAAGCGUUAAGUUAUCCACCUGGGGAGUACGCCGGCAACGGUGAAACUCAAAGGAAUUGACGGGGGCCCGCACAAGCGGAGGAACAUGUGGUUUAAUUCGAUGAUACGCGAGGAACCUUACCCGGGCUCAAACGGUGCGUGACGGCGCGUGAAAGCGCGCUUUCGCAAGACACGCUCCGAGGUGCUGCAUGGUUGUCGUCAGCUCGUGCCGUGAGGUGUCGGCUUAAGUGCCAUAACGAGCGCAACCCCCAUCCCCAGUUGCCAGCGGGUGAAGCCGGGCCCUCUGGGGAGACUGCCGGCGCAAGCUGCGAGGAAGGCGGGGAUGACGUCAAAUCAGCACGGCCCUUACGUCCGGGGCGACACACGUGUUACAAUGGCGGGGCACAGCGGGAAGCCAGGCGGCGACGCCGAGCGGAUCCCGAAAACCCGUCUCAGUUCGGAUCGGAGUCUGCAACCCGACUCCGUGAAGCUGGA
RNAcentral lists this ribosomal RNA (600 nucleotides) under uncultured bacterium. Its description in RNAcentral is "bacterial SSU rRNA". It matches the Rfam family "Bacterial small subunit ribosomal RNA", at positions 729 to 1330 of the family's 1533-position model. The record is from RNAcentral.